AGUCAUAUAUAUAGAGAGAAAGAAUAUGGGUGUGAAGAAGAGAGAGAGAAAAGUGUGAGAGUGAUGCAAAAUAUAGAUAUGGAGAUAGAAAGUGAGUGAGAGCUCAGAAGCCAUAUUUCUCCACCACCAGAAGAAUUUCUAAGCGAUUUAUUGUUGGUCGACUGAGCUAUUCGUAUAUUGGGUGGGGAGGCAGUCGUAAUAUCUCAUCUUUUCUUUUGGUUUCUAGAAUUAUCCUGAGAGAGAUUAUACGAGAGAGAAAAAUCGAGGGUUUUCCUCCGAAGAAUUAUCUUGUCUUUUGGUUUCUACAAUCAUCUUGUCUGAGAGACGUUGUAGUGGAGAAAAAGAAAUCAAGGGUUUUCAUUCACAUAGCGCCUUCGCCGUCACAUCGACACUGGCGCCGAAGAACUUGGCUCUCUUCCCCAUCCAACGGCACCUUGCCGUCACACCUGCAUCGGGCCGUAAGAACUCGGCUUUUUUUCCCAUCCACUGGUGUCUUGCUGCCUUCAUGUACACAACCAGCAUAUCCAGCCAACCACAGCAAUUUAUGCAUUCCACUUAGGCCUGGCAACGGUAUUGGGCAAGGAACUUUGCUGGAUGGAGACGUUUUACUAUAGCACAACCAUGGACUGUUCAUAUAGCAGUAGCAUGUCUUGAAAAAGCAAGCCGCAUAAAUUUCACUAUUACUCAAAAUGUAGACAGGUGAACGGCCCUUAAAUACAUAAUUUUGUUUCUGAAAUAGUCCUAAGCUGGCUGUAUUAGAAAUCUAGAAAUGCACUGUCUUUUUACAGGCUGCACCAUCGUACUGGAAGCCCUACUUGAGUUACACGGAACUGUAUAUAUUCUUGCUUGUACAAAUUGCAGCUUUUCUCUUCCUAGAAAUUCAUUUCAAGACCAAGUGAAGACUCUUAAUCCAAAGGUUAAGUCUUUUGGUAUUUGAGUUAUUGUUUCACUGUAGUAAUUCUAUCAAGUUCUUUUUUUGUCUGAA
Molecule: long non-coding RNA, 985 nt
Organism: Olea europaea var. sylvestris
Lineage: Eukaryota; Viridiplantae; Streptophyta; Magnoliopsida; Lamiales; Oleaceae
Exons: 2
Source: RefSeq, a predicted model, not a curated record